UCUGGGCUUCUCCAAGAUAACUAGGGUUUUCAAAUUUGAAAACAUUUGGUCUAAACUCUCGCGCCUGAGCUUCAUCUCCCUCCGCCAUUUCGCCCUUUCAUAUCACACUAAUCAUCUUCUCUGACAUUUGGUUCUUGAUUUUAUUCAAAUUUGAAUUCCUCUAAGCUUGAUUCAAGGAUAUUUUGAGGAGUAUUGAUUUAUGAUUUGAAGUGCAGCUGGUAAAUCAAUUCUCCGAUUAAAUCUCUCUCGCCGCAGUUGAUAGUCAUAAGCAACGGAUAAUCAAUCGGCUUGACGGGGCAGGGCAGCAUUCGGAUGCCUUUGAUUUCGCAACGGAAAGAAAUUUCUAUUUAAAUUAUAAAUCCUACUACAUAUUUCAGUAUGUUUUUACUACUUUGUCCCUCAACAUUUUAUGUAUCUUCAAAGUAUUGCCAUUAUAUACGGAAUAUUUAUACGGUAUAAACAGGUGUUCAAAUCUCAGCCACACAUUCUUCUUUCUGGGCUUCUCCAAGAUAACUAGGGUUUUCAAAUUUGAAAACAUUUGGUCUAAACUCUCGCGCCUGAGCUUCAUCUCCCUCCGCCAUUUCGCCCUUUCAUAUCACACUAAUCAUCUUCUCUGACAUUUGGUUCUUGAUUUUAUUCAAAUUUGAAUUCCUCUAAGCUUGAUUCAAGGAUAUUUUGAGGAGUAUUGAUUUAUGAUUUGAAGUGCAGCUGGUAAAUCAAUUCUCCGAUUAAAUCUCUCUCGCCGCAGUUGAUAGUCAUAAGCAACGGAUAAUCAAUCGGCUUGACGGGGCAGGGCAGCAUUCGGAUGCCUUUGAUUUCGCAACGGAAAGAAAUUUCUAUUUAAAUUAUAAAUCCUACUACAUAUUUCAGUAUGUUUUUACUACUUUGUCCCUCAACAUUUUAUGUAUCUUCAAAGUAUUGCCAUUAUAUACGGAAUAUUUAUACGGUAUAAACAGGUGUUCAAAUCUCAGCCACACAUUCUUCUUUCUGGGCUUCUCCAAGAUAACUAGGGUUUUCAAAUUUGAAAACAUUUGGUCUAAACUCUCGCGCCUGAGCUUCAUCUCCCUCCGCCAUUUCGCCCUUUCAUAUCACACUAAUCAUCUUCUCUGACAUUUGGUUCUUGAUUUUAUUCAAAUUUGAAUUCCUCUAAGCUUGAUUCAAGGAUAUUUUGAGGAGUAUUGAUUUAUGAUUUGAAGUGCAGCUGGUAAAUCAAUUCUCCGAUUAAAUCUCUCUCGCCACAGUUGAUAGUCAUAAGCAACGGAUAAUCAAUCGGCUUGACGGGGCAGGGCAGCAUUCGGAUGCCUUUGAUUUCGCAACGGAAAGAAAUUUUUUAGGUAAAAAUUCAGUCUUUCUAACAUGAGCUAUGCAUGCAGUGUCACAUAGAAAUCUAUCAGAAGCGAAUUGUGACGUUUGCGUGAUCCUGUGGGGAAGCCACAAGGUGUGAUGGGUUGGUGGCUUAUUCGAGCUGUUAAGAAUUGAUGGAUCAUGCAUAUAUCUUCAACAUAUUGACUGGUGAUUGAUGAUUCAGAAGACAAUUAAAUAGGUGUAGAGCAAUUCAAAUGUAGGAUAUAAACUUGCAGACUUAUUUCAUUUCUGUUUGACGAGUUAUAAAUGUGAUGUAGAGCUAACACCCAAAGUUGUUCCACAUCGGAUUUUGGACUUGCCAAUUUGUUAGGAUCUGAAAUAAGCCAUGUAACUACACAAGUGAUGUGUACAUUUGGAUAUGUUUCACCGGACUAUUUAAGUGCAGGGAUGCUAAACAAAGGGAGUGAUCUUCUUGCACAAAAAGAGGAAGCUGGGAAAAAUUUGAUUUCCAGUUAUUGCACUAGCAGAAUCCCUUGAUGCCGAAAUCAAAAGAUGGUCCACUGGGAAGGAGGGGAACUUGCGUGCAUUGCUCUCAACCCUGCAAUAUAUCCUUGGUCCUGGUAGUGAUUGGCAACCAAUAUCCCUGACAAAUAUUAUAAUGUCUGAUGCUGUAAAGAAAGCUUACUGAAAAGCCACUCUCCAUGCACAUCCAGACAAGUUGCAGCAGCGAGGGGCAAGCAUCCGGGAAAAGUACAUUUGCGAGAAGAGCUUUUUCGAGAAGCUGUUACUUUUUCCCAAAUGCAUCCCAAUCCAAUUUCAAUUUAUAAUUCAAAUUCUAAGUCUC
Molecule: long non-coding RNA, 2149 nt
Organism: Daucus carota subsp. sativus
Lineage: Eukaryota; Viridiplantae; Streptophyta; Magnoliopsida; Apiales; Apiaceae
Exons: 12
Source: RefSeq, a predicted model, not a curated record